This 440-nucleotide ribosomal RNA is filed under the name uncultured bacterium. RNAcentral's name for it is "partial 16S ribosomal RNA". It matches the Rfam family "Bacterial small subunit ribosomal RNA", at positions 338 to 795 of the family's 1533-position model. The record is from RNAcentral.
CCUACGGGAGGCAGCAGUGGGGAAUAUUGCACAAUGGGGGAAACCCUGAUGCAGCGACGCCGCGUGAGUGAAGAAGUAAUUCGGUAUGUAAAGCUCUAUCAGCAGGGAAGAAAAUGACGGUACCUGAGUAAUAAGCACCGGCUAACUACGUGCCAGCAGCCGCGGUAAUACGUAGGGGGCAAGCGUUAUCCGGAUUUACUGGGUGUAAAGGGAGCGUAGACGGCAGUGCAAGUCUGGAGUGAAAGGCGGGGGCUCAACCCCCGGACUGCUCUGGAAACUGUACGGCUGGAGUGCAGGAGAGGUAAGUGGAAUUCCUGGUGUAGCGGUGAAAUGCGUAGAUAUUAGGAGGAACACCAGUGGCGAAGGCGGCUUACUGGACUGUAACUGACGUUGAGGCUCGAAAGCGUGGGGAGCAAACAGGAUUAGAUACCCGGGUAGUC